This is a long non-coding RNA of Camelina sativa (false flax), 1927 nucleotides long. RefSeq lists it as uncharacterized. Lineage: Eukaryota; Viridiplantae; Streptophyta; Magnoliopsida; Brassicales; Brassicaceae. The record is from RefSeq and is a predicted model, not a curated record.
UCUGGUGUUUUUUCUGCUGUGUUCCACUUCGAGAGAUAUUAUUUUGUUGGUCGUGGAUUUUAGAACAAUCAUGCAAAACAGCCAAGUCUCCAUCUCUUUAUAGAGGUCAUGGUGUUUUUUCCUCUUUAUUGUCCAUUCAGAUUCCAAGCUACAUAAAAUAACUUGGUGAAAGGAUAAUGAUACAGUGAAUAUGUUUCAGGUCUAAAGUGAGGAUUACUCAUUCAAACAAAAGAUAAUAAACCAGAAUGAAGAAAGCUUGUUUCAUGUCAGGAAGAUAAGUAUAUUAUAUUAGACUCAUGCAUUUCGAUUAGGAGUCUUUCGUUAACAAUGUUUCGAUUUUUUGUUUCUGGUCUCCUCUUGCAGGAAGCUUUUGCAAGUUUAAACCCCCGCUCUUCUGUUUAAUCUUGAACAAGGAGAUAUAUGGGAGAAUAUAAAAGGCUGAAGGUAGACGAAGAUAACAAAGAAGCUCUCUAAAUUCCCAAUAAAGAGAAAACCGAAAACGUCACUAAGACACUAUUUCAAAGUUUGAGGUGGACAAGGAGAAGCUCUAUUUAUGAUAUGAGCAACUAAGUAAGCCAACAAACUCCUUUAGAGACCAUACUCACUUACCCCUGUAGAACAGCAUGUAGGCAAAAAAAAAAGAGGUGACAAAGAUACCUGAAUAGGAGAGGUUCUACAAAGAAAAGAUUGCACAGUUGGAAGAAUCACUCAAGGUAAGUAAUAAGCUUACGUAUAUACAUAUUUUCUCUUUUCUUUGUAUGCAAAUUCUUUGGGCGUAGGAUGACAAAAAUUCAGCACAUUGUGGAAAUUUCUCGGCUCCUCCAUGGACAAAAAAAACGAAGGAUGAGUGAUAGAUUAUUUUUUCUUCGCUAAAAGGUUUGACUGAAUGAUAAAAAAAAAAGAUAUAUUUUCUAGAGCUUGUAAGCAGUGAUAGAAGUGUCUGGAAGCACUUCAUAUUGGAGUAAAACAAGACGAUCAACCAGCCAAGAAAUCCACUUGUGUCAUGGUGUUUUCUCCUCUGUAGUAUCCCAUUCAAAUUUCAAGGUAAGAGAGAAACCGCGAACUGGAGGUGAGUCAAAAGAAAGGAUGGGGCCUUCGUUUCGAUCUCCGGAGUUAUCUUUUAGUUAUUAAAGUUUAAUUAUCCUCCCAGUCCCAGGUAUGUUUCAUUUUUUUUACUUCAUUUCGAUUUUUUCUCUUAUAACUCGAAAUUACCAUCUAUUUUGUUCUUAUAACAUAUUUCAUAGCUAACAUACUUUCAGAAUUCUAUAGAGAUUGAACAGGUUAUAGACGGAAAAACACAGAGAAUAAUAAUGUUAUGGUCCUUGGUUCUUAUAAUAACAUGCAUGAUCUAAGUUGAUCUCUUAAAUCUCUUAACACAUAGCAUACAUUUAUGUUUAGUUUCUUGCAUUCAUGCAUGUUUGCUUCCUUGAUUCACAGCUUGAUUCUUUACUUGCAUCAUUAACCGUCAUUUCCUUGCUUAACUUGCGUUUGCUUGUUUCUUUCACUAGUUGCAUUCAGGCAUGGUUGCUUCCUUGAUUCAUUGAUUGCUUCUUUACUUCCAUCAUUAACCGUCACUUCCUUGCUUAACUUGUGUUUGCUUGUUUCGUUCACUAGUUGCAUUCAGGCAUGGUUGCUUCCUUGAUUCAUUGAUUGCUUCUUUACUUCCAUCAUUAUCCGUCACUUCCUUGCUUAACUUGUGUUUGCUUGUUUCGUUCACUAGUUGCAUUCAUACAUGGUUGCUUCCUUGAUUCACUGCUUGAUUCUUUACUUACAUCAUUAACCGUCACUUCCUUGCUUAACUUGCGUUUGCUUGUUUCUUUCACUAGUUGCUUUCAUGCUAGCUUACUUAACUCAUUUACUUGAUGCUUUCUUUGUUUUUUGCUUGCUCAUUUUCUCAGUUCAUUUAUUAACUUGUUUGUGUGCAUGC